GCAGGUUGAAGGUUGGGUAACACUAACUGGAGGACCGAACCGACUAAUGUUGAAAAAUUAGCGGAUGACUUGUGGCUGGGGGUGAAAGGCCAAUCAAACCGGGAGAUAGCUGGUUCUCCCCGAAAGCUAUUUAGGUAGCGCCUCGUGAAUUCAUCUCCGGGGGUAGAGCACUGUUUCGGCAAGGGGGUCAUCCCGACUUACCAACCCGAUGCAAACUGCGAAUACCGGAGAAUGUUAUCACGGGAGACACACGGCGGGUGCUAACGUCCGUCGUGAAGAGGGAAACAACCCAGACCGCCAGCUAAGGUCCCAAAGUCAUGGUUAAGUGGGAAACGAUGUGGGAAGGCCCAGACAGCCAGGAUGUUGGCUUAGAAGCAGCCAUCAUUUAAAGAAAGCGUAAUAGCUCACUGGUCGAGUCGGCCUGCGCGGAAGAUGUAACGGGGCUAAACCAUGCACCGAAGCUGCGGCAGCGACGCUGAUGCGUUGUUGGGUAGGGGAGCGUUCUGUAAGCCUGUGAAGGUGUGCUGUGAGGCAUGCUGGAGGUAUCAGAAGUGCGAAUGCUGACAUAAGUAACGAUAAAGCGGGUGAAAAGCCCGCUCGCCGGAAGACCAAGGGUUCCUGUCCAACGUUAAUCGGGGCAGGGUGAGUCGACCCCUAAGGCGAGGCCGAAAGGCGUAGUCGAUGGGAAACAGGUUAAUAUUCCUGUACUUGGUGUUACUGCGAAGGGGGGACGGAGAAGGCUAUGUUGGCCGGGCGACGGUUGUCCCGGUUUAAGCGUGUAGGCUGGUUUUCCAGGCAAAUCCGGAAAACUAAGGCUGAGGCGUGAUGACGAGGCACUACGGUGCUGAAGCAACAAAUGCCCUGCUUCCAGGAAAAGCCUCUAAGCAUCAGGUAACAUCAAAUCGUACCCCAAACCGACACAGGUGGUCAGGUAGAGAAUACCAAGGCGCUUGAGAGAACUCGGGUGAAGGAACUAGGCAAAAUGGUGCCGUAACUUCGGGAGAAGGCACGCUGAUAUGUAGGUGAAGUCCCUCGCGGAUGGAGCUGAAAUCAGUCGAAGAUACCAGCUGGCUGCAACUGUUUAUUAAAAACACAGCACUGUGCAAACACGAAAGUGGACGUAUACGGUGUGACGCCUGCCCGGUGCCGGAAGGUUAAUUGAUGGGGUCAGCGCAAGCGAAGCUCUUGAUCGAAGCCCCGGUAAACGGCGGCCGUAACUAUAACGGUCCUAAGGUAGCGAAAUUCCUUGUCGGGUAAGUUCCGACCUGCACGAAUGGCGUAAUGAUGGCCAGGCUGUCUCCACCCGAGACUCAGUGAAAUUGAACUCGCUGUGAAGAUGCAGUGUACCCGCGGCAAGACGGAAAGACCCCGUGAACCUUUACUAUAGCUUGACACUGAACAUUGAGCCUUGAUGUGUAGGAUAGGUGGGAGGCUUUGAAGUGUGGACGCCAGUCUGCAUGGAGCCGACCUUGAAAUACCACCCUUUAAUGUUUGAUGUUCUAACGUUGACCCGUAAUCCGGGUUGCGGACAGUGUCUGGUGGGUAGUUUGACUGGGGCGGUCUCCUCCUAAAGAGUAACGGAGGAGCACGAAGGUUGGCUAAUCCUGGUCGGACAUCAGGAGGUUAGUGCAAUGGCAUAAGCCAGCUUGACUGCGAGCGUGACGGCGCGAGCAGGUGCGAAAGCAGGUCAUAGUGAUCCGGUGGUUCUGAAUGGAAGGGCCAUCGCUCAACGGAUAAAAGGUACUCCGGGGAUAACAGGCUGAUACCGCCCAAGAGUUCAUAUCGACGGCGGUGUUUGGCACCUCGAUGUCGGCUCAUCACAUCCUGGGGCUGAAGUAGGUCCCAAGGGUAUGGCUGUUCGCCAUUUAAAGUGGUACGCGAGCUGGGUUUAGAACGUCGUGAGACAGUUCGGUCCCUAUCUGCCGUGGGCGCUGGAGAACUGAGGGGGGCUGCUCCUAGUACGAGAGGACCGGAGUGGACGCAUCACUGGUGUUCGGGUUGUCAUGCCAAUGGCACUGCCCGGUAGCUAAAUGCGGAAGAGAUAAGUGCUGAAAGCAUCUAAGCACGAAACUUGCCCCGAGAUGAGUUCUCCCUGACUCCUUGAGAGUCCUGAAGGAACGUUGAAG
Molecule: ribosomal RNA, 2126 nt
Filed under: Escherichia coli
Lineage: Bacteria; Pseudomonadati; Pseudomonadota; Gammaproteobacteria; Enterobacterales; Enterobacteriaceae
Description: partial 23S ribosomal RNA
Rfam family: Bacterial large subunit ribosomal RNA
Source: RNAcentral